AUUGAACGCUGGCGGCAGGCCUAACACAUGCAAGUCGAGCGGAUUUUGGAGGGCUUGCUCUCCAAAGUUAGCGGCGGACGGGUGAGGAAUACGCAGGAAUCUACCUAGUAGUGGGGGAUAACGUAGGGAAACUUACGCUAAUACCGCAUACGACCUACGGGUGAAAGCAGGGGACCUUCGGGCCUUGCGCUAUUAGAUGAGCCUGCGUCGGAUUAGCUAGUUGGUGGGGUAAAGGCCUACCAAGGCGACGAUCCGUAGCUGGUCGUUAGAGGAGUGAUCAGCCACACUGGGACGUGAGACACGGCCC
Molecule: ribosomal RNA, 307 nt
Filed under: uncultured bacterium
Lineage: Bacteria
Description: bacterial SSU rRNA
Rfam family: Bacterial small subunit ribosomal RNA
Source: RNAcentral